Long non-coding RNA from Carassius gibelio (silver crucian carp), 1141 nucleotides. RefSeq lists it as uncharacterized. NCBI's taxonomy places the organism in Eukaryota, Metazoa, Chordata, Actinopteri, Cypriniformes, Cyprinidae. The record is from RefSeq and is a predicted model, not a curated record. The transcript is spliced from 3 exons.
CCAGCAGAGUCGGAGUGAACCUACUGUAAGACAACAUCUCCAAGAUGCUAUUGACCACAAGACUAGUACAGGUUAUUAGAAACUGCACAGCACAGGACUUGCAUUGACUUGUGAGGACUUCAGAUGAUACCAGUACUCAAAAGACCUUAGAUGAUGGCAACUAUAGAUGGACAUACAAACUACCGCCACUGCAAAAAAGAUUCUAAUUUGAAAGAAGUUUAUAAUGCAUGUUCGCUACUCCCAAUUCAGAAGACUGAAUCAGCCUGUGUAUCUGAAUGUUUCUCAUACUCACUCCUCUCUGCCGCGGCUGAAUUUGGGAUUUUCCUUAGCUGUCAGUUAUAAACGUCAAAAUUAAAAGAAAUAAACAUUUGAAAUAUAUCAGUCUUUGUGUAAUGAAUAAAUAUAAUAUACAAGUUUCACUUUUUGAAUGGAAUUAGUGAAAUAAAUCAACUUUUUGAUGAUAUUCUAAUUAUAUGACCAGCACCUGUAUAUCAUUGCUCUUUUGUUGAUUUUGCUUCCAUUGUGCUCAUUUGUAAGUUGCUUUGGAUAAAAGUGUCUGCUAAAUGUAAAUGUAAUGUUAAUGUGUAUUUAACUAUAUUUAUAAAUAUUUAUCUGUAUUUUUUAUUUUGUAAUAAUGUAAAUGUAUUUGUUUUAUAUCUAUACAUGCAGUUGUAUUCAUGUAUGUAUAUUUAUUUGUCUAAUUUUUAUAUUUUAAUAAAGCAGUUUAGACUACAUGAGUGUUUUCUUUAUUCUGGAUGAAUUACAUAUUCUUUUGUGUCUAGAAAGGGUUAAUAUGGGCCAUAUCUAACCCAGAAGUCAGCCACAACUGGGACGGAUCUGGGCCACAUCUCAGAAAUGGCGUGGUUGACAUCUGGGCCAGGUGUCACCCAUGCCAUUUGUGAGAUGCGGCAUGGAUCUGGUAAAGUUGUGGCUGACUUCUGUCAGACAAAACUGGGCCAGAUCUGGCCCAGAUGUCACCCACACCAUUUCUGAGAUGUGGCCCAGAUCUGGUUCAGUUGUGGCUGACAUAUGUCAGCCAGACUCAGGUUGAGUCAUCGCCGUCAUUCCGCGCGGUAUGUGGGCCAGAAGAAUAUGGGAGAUGUGGGCCAGAACUGGGCCACAUGUCAUUUGCUAUCUGGGA